This 307-nucleotide ribosomal RNA is filed under the name Leuconostoc mesenteroides. RNAcentral describes it as "bacterial SSU rRNA". It matches the Rfam family "Bacterial small subunit ribosomal RNA", at positions 31 to 327 of the family's 1533-position model. The record is from RNAcentral. Lineage: Bacteria; Bacillati; Bacillota; Bacilli; Lactobacillales; Lactobacillaceae.
GAACGCUGGCGGCGUGCCUAAUACAUGCAAGUCGAACGCACAGCGAAAGGUGCUUGCACCUUUCAAGUGAGUGGCGAACGGGUGAGUAACACGUGGACAACCUGCCUCAAGGCUGGGGAUAACAUUUGGAAACAGAUGCUAAUACCGAAUAAAACUUAGUGUCGCAUGACAAAAAGUUAAAAGGCGCUUCGGCGUCACCUAGAGAUGGAUCCGCGGUGCAUUAGUUAGUUGGUGGGGUAAAGGCCUACCAAGACAAUGAUGCAUAGCCGAGUUGAGAGACUGAUCGGCCACAUUGGGACUGAGACAA